RNAcentral lists this ribosomal RNA (433 nucleotides) under uncultured bacterium. Its description in RNAcentral is "partial 16S ribosomal RNA". It matches the Rfam family "Bacterial small subunit ribosomal RNA", at positions 29 to 507 of the family's 1533-position model. The record is from RNAcentral.
AACGAACGCUGGCGGCAUGCCUAACACAUGCAAGUCGAACGAGACCUUCGGGUCUAGUGGCGCACGGGUGCGUAACGCGUGGGAACCUGCCCUUAGGUUCGGAAUAACUCCCCGAAAGGGGUGCUAAUACCGGAUAAUGUCUUCGGACCAAAGAUUUAUCGCCUUUGGAUGGGCCCGCGUUGGAUUAGCUAGUUGGUAGGGUAAAAGCCUACCAAGGCGACGAUCCAUAGCUGGUCUGAGAGGAUGAUCAGCCACACUGGGACUGAGACACGGCCCAGACUCCUACGGGAGGCAGCAGUGGGGAAUAUUGGACAAUGGGCGGAAGCCUGAUCCAGCAAUGCCGCGUGAGUGAUGAAGGCCUUAGGGUUGUAAAGCUCCUUUACCCGGGAUGAUAAUGACAGUACCGGGAGAAUAAGCUCCGGCUAACUCCGUG